Malania oleifera is the source of this 106-nucleotide small nucleolar RNA. The record is from RefSeq and is a predicted model, not a curated record. NCBI's taxonomy places the organism in Eukaryota, Viridiplantae, Streptophyta, Magnoliopsida, Santalales, Ximeniaceae.
ACUUAAUGAUGUGGGCAUUUAUGCAGAAGGUCUUUAAAAUGCUCCCAAAUCUCAAAAAAUUUCUCACCAUCUAUUUGGGAGAAACUAGUAAUGGCCUUCUUAAGCU